UACGUAGGGCGCAAGCGUUGUCCGGAAUUAUUGGGCGUAAAGAGCUCGUAGGCGGUCUGUCGCGUCGGAUGUGAAAGCCCGGGGCUUAACCCCGGGUCUGCAUUCGAUACGGGCAGACUAGAGUGUGGUAGGGGAGAUCGGAAUUCCUGGUGUAGCGGUGAAAUGCGCAGAUAUCAGGAGGAACACCGGUGGCGAAGGCGGAUCGCUGGGCCAUUACUGACGCUGAGGAGCGAAAGCGUGGGGAGCGAACAGG
Molecule: ribosomal RNA, 253 nt
Filed under: uncultured bacterium
Lineage: Bacteria
Description: partial 16S ribosomal RNA
Rfam family: Bacterial small subunit ribosomal RNA
Source: RNAcentral